Molecule: ribosomal RNA, 365 nt
Filed under: uncultured bacterium
Lineage: Bacteria
Description: bacterial SSU rRNA
Rfam family: Bacterial small subunit ribosomal RNA
Source: RNAcentral
CAGACGGGUGAGUAACAUGUGGGUAUCUACCCUUUGGCCUGGAAUAACACGAGGAAACUUGUGCUAAUACCGGAUAAGUCUUUACGGAGAAAGCUUUAUGCACCAUUGGAUGAGCCCGCACUUGAUUAGUUUGUUGGUAGGGUAAUGGCCUACCAAGACUAUGAUCAAUAGCUGAUUUGAGAGGAUGAUCAGCCACAUUGGGACUGAGACACGGCCCAAACUCCUACGGGAGGCAGCAGUGGGGAAUCUUGCACAAUGGAGGAAACUCUGAUGCAGCGAUGCCGCGUGAGUGAAGAAGGCCUUUGGGUUGUAAAGCUCUUUCGUCGGGGAAGAAAAUGACUGUACCCGAAUAAGAAGGUCCGGCU